Molecule: long non-coding RNA, 250 nt
Filed under: Phoenix dactylifera (date palm)
Lineage: Eukaryota; Viridiplantae; Streptophyta; Magnoliopsida; Arecales; Arecaceae
Description: long non-coding RNA (PDAC_LNC012165)
Source: RNAcentral
UUUUGUCGCGAAAAGAAGCAUGCUUGAUGACAACAAAGAAUCAUCGCAAACGACUUUGAGAUCUAGGGAUGAUAGUUUUUUUGUUGUCAUGAAAACUUUUAGCCACGAAGAUAUGCAUAAAACCUAAAAAUCAUUACCAAUAUUUUUAGCGACGAGAUCAACUUCAGUCAUGACAAGGAGCAUGUAUUUUGUAGUAAUAAUACCCAUUUAAAAGCUAGAGCACAUAGCAUAUGGAUUUCUUGAAAAAGAA